RNAcentral lists this non-coding RNA (69 nucleotides) under Ruminococcus sp. The record is from RNAcentral. Lineage: Bacteria; Bacillati; Bacillota; Clostridia; Eubacteriales; Oscillospiraceae.
AGCCGAAACAGCGGACGAGUUCCGCUGUCUGCCGGAGAUGGUCUACCGGCACUGAUGAGGCAGACCAAA